AUACGUAGGUGGCGAGCGUUGUCCGGAAUUACUGGGUGUAAAGGGCGUGUAGGCGGGUAUACAAGUCAGAUGUGAAAUACCGGGGCUCAACUCCGGGGUUGCAUUUGAAACUGUAUAUCUUGAGUACAAGAGAGGUAAGUGGAAUUCCUAGUGUAGCGGUGAAAUGCGUAGAUAUUAGGAGGAACACCAGUGGCGAAGGCGACUUCCUGGCUUGUAACUGACGCUGAGGCGCGAAAGCGUGGGUAGCGAACAGGAUUAGAUACCCUGGUAGUCCACGCCGUAAACGAUGGAUACUAGGUGUAGGAGGUAUCGACCCCUUCUGUGCCGUAGUUAACGCAAUAAGUAUCCCACCUGGGGAGUACGGCCGCAAGGCUGAA
This 377-nucleotide ribosomal RNA is filed under the name uncultured bacterium. RNAcentral describes it as "bacterial SSU rRNA". It matches the Rfam family "Bacterial small subunit ribosomal RNA", at positions 523 to 898 of the family's 1533-position model. The record is from RNAcentral.